RNAcentral lists this ribosomal RNA (762 nucleotides) under Bacillus cereus. RNAcentral's name for it is "bacterial SSU rRNA". It matches the Rfam family "Bacterial small subunit ribosomal RNA", at positions 56 to 797 of the family's 1533-position model. Lineage: Bacteria; Bacillati; Bacillota; Bacilli; Caryophanales; Bacillaceae. The record is from RNAcentral.
UGCAAGUCGAGCGAAUGGAUUAAGAGCUUGCUCUUAUGAAGUUAGCGGCGGGGGUGAGUAACACGUGGGUAACCUGCCCAUAAGACUGGGAUAACUCCGGGAAACCGGGGCUAAUACCGGAUAACAUUUUGAACCGCAUGGUUCGAAAUUGAAAGGCGGCUUCGGCUGUCACUUAUGGAUGGACCCGCGUCGCAUUAGCUAGUUGGUGAGGUAACGGCUCACCAAGGCAACGAUGCGUAGCCGACCUGAGAGGGUGAUCGGCCACACUGGGACUGAGACACGGCCCAGACUCCUACGGGAGGCAGCAGUAGGGAAUCUUCCGCAAUGGACGAAAGUCUGACGGAGCAACGCCGCGUGAGUGAUGAAGGCUUUCGGGUCGUAAAACUCUGUUGUUAGGGAAGAACAAGUGCUAGUUGAAUAAGCUGGCACCUUGACGGUACCUAACCAGAAAGCCACGGCUAACUACGUGCCAGCAGCCGCGGUAAUACGUAGGUGGCAAGCGUUAUCCGGAAUUAUUGGGCGUAAAGCGCGCGCAGGUGGUUUCUUAAGUCUGAUGUGAAAGCCCACGGCUCAACCGUGGAGGGUCAUUGGAAACUGGGAGACUUGAGUGCAGAAGAGGAAAGUGGAAUUCCAUGUGUAGCGGUGAAAUGCGUAGAGAUAUGGAGGAACACCAGUGGCGAAGGCGACUUUCUGGUCUGUAACUGACACUGAGGCGCGAAAGCGUGGGGGAGCAAAACAGGAUUAGAUACCCUUGGUAGUCCA